AUUCCAGCUCCAAUAGCGUAUAUUAAAGUUGUUGCGGUUAAAAAGCUCGUAGUUGUAUUUCAGCCAAAAUUAACCGGUGUCUCAUCGUAGAUAUCUGGUAAAAUUGCGGCAUUUCUUAAAGUACGUGUUGGCGCUUUGUUGUGCUGCAUUGUCUUUAAGUCUUUUACUUUGAGGAAAUUAGAGUGUUUCAAGCAGGCAAACGCCUUGAAUACAUUAGCAUGGAAUAAUAAAAUAGGACUUUGGAUCUAUUUUGUUGGUUUUUGGAACUAAAGUAAUGAUAAAUAGGGACAGUCGGGGGCAUUCGUACUUAACUGUCAGAGGUGAAAUUCUUGGAUUUGUUAAAGACGAACUACUGCGAAAGCAUUUGCCAAGGAUGUUUUCAUCA
Molecule: ribosomal RNA, 385 nt
Filed under: Dinophyceae sp.
Lineage: Eukaryota; Dinophyceae
Description: partial small subunit ribosomal RNA
Rfam family: Eukaryotic small subunit ribosomal RNA
Source: RNAcentral